This 69-nucleotide small RNA is filed under the name Cupriavidus metallidurans CH34. RNAcentral describes it as "Pseudomonas sRNA P10". It matches the Rfam family "Pseudomonas sRNA P10". Lineage: Bacteria; Pseudomonadati; Pseudomonadota; Betaproteobacteria; Burkholderiales; Burkholderiaceae. The record is from Rfam by way of RNAcentral.
GGUGGGCGACCUCGUGUCCUGCCCGCUACCUGGUCAUGGCAUCAAUCCAAUCAUCGAAGGCUCCGACAU